CGGGACGGGUGAGUAAUGCGUGGGCAACCUGCCUCAUACGGGGGGAUAACAGUUAGAAAUGACUGCUAAUACCGCAUAAGCGCACGAGGGCCGCAUGGCCCGGUGUGAAAAACUCCGGUGGUAUGAGAUGGACCUGCGUCUGAUUAGCUUGUUGGCGGGGUAACGGCCCACCAAGGCGACGAUCAGUAGCCGACCUGAGAGGGUGGCCGGCCACAUUGGGACUGAGACACGGCCCAAACUCCUACGGGAGGCAGCAG
This 257-nucleotide ribosomal RNA is filed under the name uncultured bacterium. RNAcentral describes it as "partial 16S ribosomal RNA". It matches the Rfam family "Bacterial small subunit ribosomal RNA", at positions 98 to 354 of the family's 1533-position model. The record is from RNAcentral.